UGGGUGUGGAUUCCUACUGGAGAGGUGGG
This 29-nucleotide non-coding RNA is filed under the name Mus musculus (house mouse). The record is from RNAcentral. Lineage: Eukaryota; Metazoa; Chordata; Mammalia; Rodentia; Muridae.